RNAcentral lists this long non-coding RNA (243 nucleotides) under Linum usitatissimum (flax). RNAcentral describes it as "long non-coding RNA (LUSI_LNC007572)". The record is from RNAcentral. Lineage: Eukaryota; Viridiplantae; Streptophyta; Magnoliopsida; Malpighiales; Linaceae.
UCGAAAAUGUAAAGCAAUUGGCGUGAGAGAGAGAGAAAGAGCUGUUCAGGGUUCAGAUUAUGAUUUGAGAUUUCGGAAAAAGAUGGAAAAGCAUUUUAUAGGGAACUGCCCGCUCUUUCUUUGUUUGUUUUUCUCAGCCAUUAACUUAGUUUUGUGUACGGCUAGUUAGAUCAUCUGUGGAUUCUUAGUGAGAGGCUCGCUCUCACUACUCUUUACAUGUGCUAUGACCAUUUCUGAAUACAC